AGGUCUGUGUGCUUUGCUUGGUCAGAGCCCAGACUCAUCCAAUGUAAUCAUCCUGUACUUUCUGAGUGAUAUCCUCCAAGAUGUAGUCAUGGAAUGUCUUUAAUGAGUCUCUCAGUAUGAGGAAGAUGUGCUAUCGGGUUGGGUCUGAUUAUGCCAGCUGCUUCCCUCAUGUUCUCAAAGAAAUAUUGGAAGGCUUGCUUGCCUUCUUCAAGCUUUGACUUACAGCACAACAAAGAAGGACUCAGAAAAUAUUUGUCUG
This is a long non-coding RNA of Zonotrichia leucophrys gambelii, 259 nucleotides long. RefSeq lists it as uncharacterized. NCBI's taxonomy places the organism in Eukaryota, Metazoa, Chordata, Aves, Passeriformes, Passerellidae. The record is from RefSeq and is a predicted model, not a curated record. The transcript has 3 exons.